This 464-nucleotide ribosomal RNA is filed under the name uncultured bacterium. RNAcentral describes it as "partial 16S ribosomal RNA". It matches the Rfam family "Bacterial small subunit ribosomal RNA", at positions 338 to 795 of the family's 1533-position model. The record is from RNAcentral.
CCUACGGGGGGCAGCAGUAGGGAAUUUUCGUCAAUGGGCGCAAGCCUGAACGAGCAAUGCCGCGUGAACGAGGAAGGUCUUCGGAUCGUAAAGUUCUGUUGAAGGGGAAAAAGAGCGGAGAGAGGAAAUGCUUUCUGAAUGAUAUUAAGCUUCGAGGACGUCUAGGCUAAUUACGUGCCAGCAGCCGCGGUAAUACGUAGGAGGCGAGCGUUAUCCGGAAUGAUUGGGCGUAAAGGGUGCGUAGGCGGCCUGCUAAGUCUGGAGUGAAAGGUUCCGGCUCAACCGGUACAGGCUCUGGAUACUGGCGAGCUAGAGAGCAGGAGAGGGCGGUGGAACUCGAUGUGUAGCGGUAAAAUGCUUAGAUAUAUGGAAGAACACCAGUGGCGAAGGCGGCCGCCUGGCCUGUUACUGACGCUGAGGCACGAAAGCGUGGGUAGCAAAUAGGAUUAGAUACCCCUGUAGUC